This is a long non-coding RNA of Cygnus olor (mute swan), 527 nucleotides long. RefSeq lists it as uncharacterized. The record is from RefSeq and is a predicted model, not a curated record. The transcript is spliced from 3 exons. NCBI's taxonomy places the organism in Eukaryota, Metazoa, Chordata, Aves, Anseriformes, Anatidae.
GGUUCUCCUUCAAUCAUCUCAAUGGCCAUUAUCCUCAGCAACCAGAUAUCCACUUUGGGCCUGUAGGCUUUCCGUGUCACCAUUUCAGGCGCCAUCCAGUACGGGGUCCCCACCAUGGUGCUGCGCUUGCUCUGCUCGGGAGUGAUCUGGACACAGAAGCCAAAGUCAGCUGGAAAAGCAAAAGAGGAGGGAAGAAACAUAGUUAAAAAUCAGCAGGUUUCUCCAAAAACAACACGUAGUGAUGCCAGAGCUGUGGUACAAGCUAGCCUGUUGCACUGCCUGGGACAUUGCUGUUGCAAAGGAGGGGUGGUUUUGUGGUUAAUAAGGUGUUCAGGAGUAAGCCUCUAAAUCUGACUCACUGAGGCCGUGAAGAUCACAGAGCUGCUGACUUGUCUAUGUAAAGGAUGGUGAUCAGUAAAGAGCUGUAUAUGGAUGCUGUGAAACUUGGCAGUGCAGCAUUUUGCAGCUGUAACACACUGUGUAACACAUGGUCUCAAGCCUGUUCCUGGGUAUAGUUUGAGGGAGCC